RNAcentral lists this ribosomal RNA (386 nucleotides) under uncultured bacterium. RNAcentral's name for it is "bacterial SSU rRNA". It matches the Rfam family "Bacterial small subunit ribosomal RNA", at positions 30 to 417 of the family's 1533-position model. The record is from RNAcentral.
AUUGAACGCUGGCGGCAUGCCUUACACAUGCAAGUCGAACGGCAGCACGGGAGCAAUCCUGGUGGCGAGUGGCGAACGGGUGAGUAAUGUAUCGGAACGUACCUUUCAGUGGGGGAUAACGUAGCGAAGUUACGCUAAUACCGCAUAUUCUGUGAGCAGGAAAGCAGGGGAUCGCAAGACCUUGCGCUGAUUGAGCGGCCGAUAUCAGAUUAGCUAGUUGGUGAGGUAAAGGCUCACCAAGGCGACGAUCUGUAGCGGGUCUGAGAGGAUGAUCCGCCACACUGGAACUGAGACACGGUCCAGACUCCUACGGGAGGCAGCAGUGGGGAAUUUUGGACAAUGGGCGCAAGCCUGAUCCAGCCAUGCCGCGUGAGUGAAGAAGGCCU